UUGGAGGGCAAGUCUGGUGCCAGCAGCCGCGGUAAUUCCAGCUCCAAUAGCGUAUAUUAAAGUUGUUGCAGUUAAAAAGCUCGUAGUUGAAUUUCGGGAUUAGUACGUUGGUCGUGCCUUCGGUACGUACUGGUGUUACUGAUUCCUACCUUCUGACGAACCAUCAUGUCAUUAAUUUGGUGUGGUGGGGAAUCAGGACUGUUACUUUGAAAAAAUUAGAGUGUUUAAAGCAGGCUCGCGCUUGAAUACAUUAGCAUGGAAUAAUGAAAUAGGACGUUGAUCCUAUUUUGUUGGUUUCUAGGAUUGACGUAAUGAUUAAUAGGGAUAGUUGGGGGCAUUAGUAUUCAAUUGUCAGAGGUGAAAUUCUUGGAUUUAUUGAAGACUAACUACUGCGAAAGCAUUUGCCAAGGAUGUUUUCAUUAAUCAAGAACGAAAGUUAGGGGAUCGAAGACGAUCAGAUACCGUCGUAGUCUUAACCAUAAACUAUGCCGACUAGGGAUCGGAUGAUGUUAUUUUUAAUGACUCAUUCGGCGCCUUACGGGAAAC
RNAcentral lists this ribosomal RNA (546 nucleotides) under uncultured Glomeromycotina. Its description in RNAcentral is "SSU rRNA". It matches the Rfam family "Eukaryotic small subunit ribosomal RNA", at positions 548 to 1098 of the family's 1831-position model. The record is from RNAcentral. Lineage: Eukaryota; Fungi; Glomeromycota.